GAUGAAGAACGCAGCGAAAUGCGAUAAGUAGUGUGAAUUGCAGAAUUCAGUGAAUCAUCGAAUCUUUGAACGCACAUUGCGCCCCUUGGUAUUCCAUGGGGCAUGCCUGUUCGAGCGUCAUUUGUACCUUCAAGCUUUGCUUGGUGUUGGGUGUUUGUCCCGAGGGACUCGCCUUAAAGUAAUUGGCAGCCAGUGUUUGGUUUUGAAGCGCAGCACAAGUCGCGAUUCAAGGCUACACGCCCGCUUCCACAAGCCUUUUUUCACUUUUGACCUCGGAUCAGGUAGGGAUACCCGCUGAACUUAAGCAUAUCAAUAACGGAGGA
Molecule: unclassified non-coding RNA, 323 nt
Filed under: soil metagenome
Description: partial contains 5.8S ribosomal RNA, internal transcribed spacer 2, and large subunit ribosomal RNA
Rfam family: 5.8S ribosomal RNA (bases 1-120)
Source: RNAcentral